UGCAAGUCGAACGAGGUGCUUUUGUAGCAAUACGAGAGUAUCCUAGUGGCGAACGGGUGAGUAACGCGUUGGUGACCUACCCCAAAGUGUGGAAUAACAGUCCGAAAGGAUUGCUAAUACCGCAUGUGGUUAUCGGAUUUAGAAACUGAUAACUAAAGGAGCAAUUCGCUUUGGGAGGGACCUGCGUCCCAUCAGCUAGUUGGUGAGGUAACGGCUCACCAAGGCUACGACGGGUAGGGGACCUGAGAGGGUGACCCCCCACAAUGGAACUGAAACACGGUCCAUACACCUACGGGUGGCAGCAGUAGGGAAUAUUGCACAAUGGGCGAAAGCCUGAUGCAGCAACGCCGCGUGUGCGAUGAAGGCCUUCGGGUCGUAAAGCACUUUUCUGAGAGAUGAGAAAGGACAGUAUCUCAGGAAUAAGUCUCGGCUAACUACGUGCCAGCAGCCGCGGUAAAACGUAGGAGGCGAGCGUUAUCCGGAAUUAUUGGGCGUAAAGAGCUCGUAGGCGGUUUGUCACGUCGGCUGUGAAAUCCCGAGGCUCAACCUCGGGUCUGCAGUCGAUACGGGCAGACUAGAGUACUGCAGGGGAGACUGGAAUUCCUGGUGUAGCGGUGGAAUGCGCAGAUAUCAGGAGGAACACCGGUGGCGAAGGCGGGUCUCUGGGCAGUAACUGACGCUGAGGAGCGAAAGCGUGGGGAGCGAACAGGAUUAGAUACCCUGGUAGUCCACGCCGUAAACGGUGGGCGCUAGGUGUGGGGACCAUUCCACGGUCUCUGUGCCGCAGCUAACGCAUUAAGCGCCCCGCCUGGGGAGUACGGCCGCGAGGCUAAAACUCAAAGGAAUUGACGGGGGCCCGCACAAGCGACGGAGCAUGUGGCUUAAUUCGAUGCAACGCGAAGAACCUUACCUGGGCUUGACAUGUU
RNAcentral lists this ribosomal RNA (926 nucleotides) under uncultured bacterium. Its description in RNAcentral is "bacterial SSU rRNA". It matches the Rfam family "Bacterial small subunit ribosomal RNA", at positions 56 to 990 of the family's 1533-position model. The record is from RNAcentral.